AGCUGGGUCCUGUGCAAUAGAUGCCCUCAAACCCCGUCAGGUCCGGAAGGAAGCAGCGGUAGAGGACCUCUCUAUGUGCCGCAGGGGCGCCUAGCUAUC
RNAcentral lists this signal recognition particle RNA (99 nucleotides) under Candidatus Zymogenaceae bacterium. Its description in RNAcentral is "signal recognition particle sRNA small type". It matches the Rfam family "Bacterial small signal recognition particle RNA". From Rfam's summary of the family: The signal recognition particle (SRP) is a universally conserved ribonucleoprotein involved in the co-translational targeting of proteins to membranes. Archaeal SRP consists of a 7S RNA and homologues of the eukaryotic SRP19 and SRP54 proteins. The record is from RNAcentral. Lineage: Bacteria; Deltaproteobacteria; Candidatus Zymogeniales; Candidatus Zymogenaceae.